AUGUAUGUUUCCACUGGCUGGGUUGGGCUGGGCUGUUUGGGAACUGGGAUUUUUAAAUGGUGGCCAAUAGUAACUAAAAUUCAUACAAGGUUAAUUACCACACGGACACAGUCAAAGAAGAUAGUAAGUAUAUAUGAAGAAGAAGAGCACAUGUGCAUCGUGGAGGACACAAUCAGAAACAAGAUGCCUGCACGUAAGGUGAUGGGGGUGCUGCUCUUUCUUGCUCUCCUGUGGAGCAGCCACCUGGUGAUGGUAGCCGAGGCUGCCGAGGAUAUCCUUCCGUCAGACGAGCUGAGCCUUGAGGUUCUUGCACUGCUCGAGGACAUCAUGAAGUCCAACCUGUGCCCGGCAGCAUGCGUGACCUGCUUGUGCAGGUCGGGAAGAGCUGCCCUCUCAUCUUGA
This 402-nucleotide ribosomal RNA is filed under the name Triticum aestivum (bread wheat). Its description in RNAcentral is "partial small subunit ribosomal RNA". The record is from RNAcentral. Lineage: Eukaryota; Viridiplantae; Streptophyta; Magnoliopsida; Poales; Poaceae.